CUGCGGGUUGCUGCAGGCGCGAAACCUUUACAAUGCACGAAAGUGUGAUAAGGGAAUCCCAAGUGCUUGCUCUCUGAGUAAGCUUUUGCCAAGUGUAAAUAGCUUGGCGAAUAAGUGGUGGGUAAUACCGGUGCCAGCCGCCGCGGUAACACCGGAGCCACAAGUGGGGGUCACAAUUAUUGGGUCUAAAGCGUUCGUAGCCGGUUAAGUAAGUCUUUUGUGAAAUUGUUUUGCUCAACAAAACAGCGUGCAAGAGAUACUACUUGACUUGAGACCGGGAGAAGCUAGAAGUAUUUCAGGGGGAGCGGUAAAAUGUUUUAAUCCCUGAAAGACUACCAGUGGCGAAGGCGUCUAGCUAGAACGGGUCUGACGGUGAGGAACGAAGGCUGGGGGAGCAAAACGGAUUAGAUACCCCAGUAGUC
RNAcentral lists this ribosomal RNA (422 nucleotides) under uncultured archaeon. RNAcentral's name for it is "partial 16S ribosomal RNA". It matches the Rfam family "Archaeal small subunit ribosomal RNA", at positions 323 to 746 of the family's 1478-position model. The record is from RNAcentral.